Molecule: long non-coding RNA, 2634 nt
Organism: Melospiza melodia melodia
Lineage: Eukaryota; Metazoa; Chordata; Aves; Passeriformes; Passerellidae
Exons: 2
Source: RefSeq, a predicted model, not a curated record
AUUGCCACAGCAUUUAUCUAGCAGCAGGAAACCAUUAUCCUAUGACAACAAUCUAUUCCAUUAACAUUAGCUCUUAAUUGUAAGAUUGUUUAUAAGACAGCAAAAGCUACUGAAUCAUAUUAGAAUGAUAAAAAGAGUUAUAGUCAUGGAGUAUAGUAGUCCCUCCAGUUAUGAAAAAUAACCUAAGAGUAGAAAGCUAUAUUUUAUAUUAAAAAUAAUGUAAUAUUGUUACACAAUAUAAUAUUUUAAAAUAAUUGAUUACAUCAGGAAGGUAGCUACUAAAGAGUUAAUUUUAAAAACUGUUACUAAGAAACUCUUUCUUUGAUAAGGAUAUGGCUGAAAAAUGAAAUAGAAAGCUUCGAAACCCUUCCUCUUGCUUUUAGCAAUGCUGCACCGAGCCAGAGAAAUCAUAACAACAGAAAUAUAUUUGUCUGGUGGAGUGAACAGAAGAAAUGUUGCAGAAUUGAGAUACCCAGAACCUCACUGCAGAAUAGAAGGAGAACUGUCAUUCUGAUUGUUUGUCAUUAUUGUUUCAUGUCCAGUUAAGUGAAGUUAAAGUGACAGUUGUGUCAUAACUGCUGGCAUCUAUGUAAAUUUCAAAUCAAAUAUGAUAGAGGCAUUUCUGCCAGACAGAAGUCACCAGGCUGCUCUUCCUCUUCGUUUUUGUAACCCUGCAUUUUCUCAUGCCAUUGCUGGUAGCCCUUAAAUUAAAAAGACAACUUCAACAGGGGAUCUCUGUGUUGUGUGUGCUUCAGUGCUCAGCCUGUACCUUGCUUUCUCUCAGCUUUUUGAAACAAUGCCCCAGUGUCAAAUUUCCACCAGAAACUGUCACCACGAACAUCUAGAUGGAUUAGCUAAACCUGUGCCUACCCAUUAAUGAUGUAUCAUACAACAAGAGCCUGUGAAGUUCCAGGUUGAGAAUGUCCGCUGAAGACCUACAGAGAAAACAGCUCGAGCAAAUGUUCCUCCAUUGGUUUACUGCAGCCCAAGACAGACAUCUCUGUGGAUAGGAGCAAAAUAGGCAGAAAACAUUGGUCAUGGACCUUUCUGUGCAUUACAGCAUUGUUCAGAGAUCAUGGGAACUUCAUAAAGAUAUCAGACAUACUCCUCCACUGCAAUGAGCUACAUGUAAAUAAUUAAUUUCUUGGAUACACUCAGACAGAUAUUCUAAUUACAUAGGAUUUGCUACUGGACACACAUCUUUGAAAAUAAUUCCAAUGCAAUUAUAAAGUGCUGUCUACUGCUUCGAAAAGAAUGCUACGAGUGAAGGCACCCAGGAUUCUUCCCAGCUUCUGCCAGGAUGUGAGUCUGCCAUAUCACUGGAUAUCCGACUUAAAUACUUUAUCCAGUCACAUUUUUAAAUUGAUUGAGGCCUGAACCAGAAAAUCCUGUGUGAGUAAAAGGAUGCAUUACUUUUAAGUAAGGAAUGGCUGUUGAUUUUUCAUCCCUGUUUCUGGACAGACUGGGGUCAGAGGGUUUGUUUUAGAAGUUUGUUUGUUCAAAAGGUGUAGUUUGCAAGACACGUGGAUCAGGAAAGUGCCACAUGGAAGAUGUCAAAGCAGCAGCCUCAACACUUCUCCCUAAUGUGAAAAGGAAAAGGAAGUCCCUGAGGUAUGCACUAUUCAGGGAGAGAACCUAGAGCUCCCAUAGGGAUGCAGUAUUUAGGGAGAGAACCAAGACUCUUCCCCUGAAUGCAGAGACAAGUGAUGAAUUCUGGACUGCCUGGUAUCUUAGGGGCACAUCUCGCUUUAAGAAUUAUUUGGAUCCCUGUAACAUUUUCCAGACAUUCAGAUUGCAACUACUAAGCCAGCAAUUUUAUGCUUUCCCUUCCCUGAUUCCAAGAGCACUGCAAUAUAAGCAGCCAGAUUUUCUUCUGCAUUGUGUUUUUUAUCCAUUCAGCCAAAAUUAACAGUCUUCUAAGAUAACGUAUGCCAAGUGAAUUUAAAUCUUGUGGACUCAAAUCGACCUAAAGUUGAUGGAUACAUUCAUGCCUACUGCUGAAAUCUACCAAUUACACAGAACUACGUUAACUUACCAUAGAAACAUCUCAUCUAAUAGCACAGAUGAUGUUGAACUAACUAAUUACAUUAUGGCACAUAGACAAUGAAAAACAUAACGAAGAUGACAGCACAGCAACAGCAGAUGCUGCACAAAAGAAAAAUUAGAAAAAUAUUGCUCUGCAAAAUGCUCUCAGUUAAGGUUUCCUCUGUUAAAAUUAAUCACAAAAAUUAGUGAUGAUCAGAUUUCAGAAAAAGAUAUGAACAUUGUAAUGCAAUUUGGAAAACAUCAUUAAGCCAUUUAAAACUCUGCUCCUUGAGAAGGUAAUUCCUGUUUUUUGUAUCACCCUCAUUUUUAAGACUAGUAAACAUUUUAGUGCCUAUGGCAGAGUUUCUUGGUAGAAUAUCUUUUCCAAUAAGGAGCGGUCCUAAUGGCUCUCCCAGAGUCUGAAUUUGGUAGCUUCCAGCCAUUACAGGCUUAGAUAAUUAGACAAUGUAGAUUUUAUUUGAGCUUGGCAUUUGCUCUGUUCUUGUGCUCUUAACUGUCAGAGAGCUAAAAUAUCAGUGAUUGUUGAUUAUCUGUAGCAUGCCUUGUUGCUUUAUAUAUUUUAAAUUGUACCAGAUCCUACAUAACAAA